UGGGGAAUUUUGGACAAUGGGCGAAAGCCUGAUCCAGCAAUGCCGCGUGUGUGAAGAAGGCCUUCGGGUUGUAAAGCACUUUUGUCCGGAAAGAAAUCCUUGGCUCUAAUACAGUCGGGGGAUGACGGUACCGGAAGAAUAAGCACCGGCUAACUACGUGCCAGCAGCCGCGGUAAUACGUAGGGUGCAAGCGUUAAUCGGAAUUACUGGGCGUAAAGCGCGCGCAGGCGGUUUGCUAAGACCGAUGUGAAAUCCCCGGGCUCAACCUGGGAACUGCAUUGGUGACUGGCAGGCUAGAGUAUGGCAGAGGGGGGUAGAAUUCCACGUGUAGCAGUGAAAUGCGUAGAGAUGUGGAGGAAUACCGAUGGCGAAGGCAGCCCCCUGGGCCAAUACUGACGCUCAUGCACGAAAGCGUGGGGAGCAAACAGGAUUAGAUACCCUGGUAGUCCACGCCCUAAACGAUGUCAACUAGUUGUUGGGGAUUCAUUUCCUUAGUAACGUAGCUAACGCGUGAAGUUGACCGCCUGGGGAGUACGUCGCAAGAUUAAAACUC
Molecule: ribosomal RNA, 553 nt
Filed under: uncultured bacterium
Lineage: Bacteria
Description: partial 16S ribosomal RNA
Rfam family: Bacterial small subunit ribosomal RNA
Source: RNAcentral